GGGCGAGUGGUGAAAUUGGCAGACACGCAAGACUUAGGAUCUUGUAGCGAAAGCUUUGCGGGUUCGAGUCCCGCCUCGCCCACCA
Molecule: transfer RNA, 85 nt
Filed under: Lentisphaerota bacterium
Lineage: Bacteria; Pseudomonadati; Lentisphaerota
Description: Lentisphaerae bacterium (anaerobic digester metagenome) tRNA-Leu
Rfam family: tRNA
About the family: Transfer RNA (tRNA) molecules are approximately 80 nucleotides in length. Their secondary structure includes four short double-helical elements and three loops (D, anti-codon, and T loops). Further hydrogen bonds mediate the characteristic L-shaped molecular structure. tRNAs have two regions of fundamental functional importance: the anti-codon, which is responsible for specific mRNA codon recognition, and the 3' end, to which the tRNAs corresponding amino acid is attached (by aminoacyl-tRNA synthetases). tRNAs cope with the degeneracy of the genetic code in two manners: having more than one tRNA (with a specific anti-codon) for a particular amino acid; and 'wobble' base-pairing, i.e. permitting non-standard base-pairing at the 3rd anti-codon position.
Source: RNAcentral